AUUGAACGCUGGCGGCAUGCUUUACACAUGCAAGUCGAACGGUAACAGGCCGCAAGGUGCUGACGAGUGGCGAACGGGUGAGUAAUGCAUCGGAACGUGCCCAGUCGUGGGGGAUAACUACUCGAAAGAGUAGCUAAUACCGCAUACGAUCUAUGGAUGAAAGCGGGGGACCGUAAGGCCUCGCGCGAUUGGAGCGGCCGAUGUCAGAUUAGGUAGUUGGUGGGGUAAAGGCUCACCAAGCCAACGAUCUGUAGCUGGUCUGAGAGGACGACCAGCCACACUGGGACUGAGACACGGCCCAGACUCCUACGGGAGGCAGCAGGGGGGAAUUUGGGACAAUGGGCGCAAGCCUGAUCCAGCAAGGCCGCGUGCAGGAAGAAGGCCUGCGGGUGGUAAACUGCUUUUGUACGGAACGAAACGGCUCUGGUUAAUACCCGGGGCUAAUGACGGUACCGUAAGAAUAAGCACCGGCUAACUACGU
RNAcentral lists this ribosomal RNA (481 nucleotides) under uncultured bacterium. Its description in RNAcentral is "partial 16S ribosomal RNA". It matches the Rfam family "Bacterial small subunit ribosomal RNA", at positions 29 to 506 of the family's 1533-position model. The record is from RNAcentral.